Long non-coding RNA from Lathyrus oleraceus (garden pea), 1089 nucleotides. RefSeq lists it as uncharacterized. NCBI's taxonomy places the organism in Eukaryota, Viridiplantae, Streptophyta, Magnoliopsida, Fabales, Fabaceae. The record is from RefSeq and is a predicted model, not a curated record. The transcript has 2 exons.
AAUCAAACAGACACACACAAUAAUGAAAAAGAACCAAGCCAUUGAAAAAUGUAGUAGGCUCGGAUGGAGGGGUAUGUUGGAAGUCAAAAAUGCAAGAAGCGUUUGGGCUGGGCCAAAGGGUCCAAAUCCAGAACCAACCAGACCUGAAGUAGAACGCAGUGAACCCUUACUUCAUGAGCUGAAGUAAAAAGUGCUUAUGGUAAAAAGCUGUAACAUGAACGAAAUACACACCAAACUGAAAAAUCGCUUAUGCCAAAGAAUCAAAUCCAGCAAGGCGAUUCUGAUUUCCAACUUUGUGUUUUGUAGCUUCUAUCUCAAUCGUUUGUUCUGUGUUCGUGUUGAUUCUGCAAAUUACCAUUGUGUGCUUUUUGUCGUUGCUCCUGAUUCAUGCUUUGAUAUCGUCUUGCCACUCAUGGAUUUGCGCUCAUCGACGUCCUAUUAAUACAAUGGUUUGAAAUUCCAAUUCACGGAAUCAACAAUGACGACUAUUGAAAUCAACAACGCCGAAUUGCAACGACAUCACCGGAUCGAGUCGAAGAACAUUGAAGCAAGGAAAAGGAGAGCGUAUCGGUUAGGGCCGACGUGAGGAAGAUGAAGACGAUUCUCUCGGCUUUGCGUCUUGCUUCGGCUUCCCGGUGAUUUGGUUUUGCAGAAGGGUGUUUACGGUUUUCCUGCAUUUUGUGUUCUGCUGCAAUGCGUUUCAAUUUGUUCGCGUUGCCAUUUCGUUUUGUCGUUCAUGUUGCAACGCGUUUUGGUCUGUUGCGUUUUGAUGCUUCAUCUGCAUUUUCGUCUCCAUUGCGUCUUCACGUUUUGGCCUUGCAAUGUGUUGCGUUUGGAUGCGUACGUGUAUUCUGCUGCAUUUUGGAUUAUUCGCGUUGCCGUUUCGUUCUUCCUGCGUUGCAUUUUCUGCAAUUCCACGCCCACGUGUACCUCCAUGUGGUGUAAUUUCUAAUUGCAUUUUUACAUUCUUAUUUGGAUGAGGAUAAAUGUACAUUGAUUGGAUGUGGCUAAUGGAUAUAUGAUAUGUAAUUGAUAUGGAUAUGGUAAUUGAUUGGAUUAUGGGCAUUUGGACACGGAUAUUUGGAUGGA